GCACAUUUAAUUGGUCUUCAUUUGUUUGACUAAUAGACUCUGGACAUAGCCACCAUGACACCACCCAUUGGUUUCUAAAGAGCGUACAGCGAGCGGCUCCGGCCAACUCCCAACUAAUCCAAAGUGGUCAAAGAGGUAGAGCUGAGGUGGGCCAAAUGAAGCCUGGUUCCUGAAACACGCCCACCUAGCUCAAAGCUUCCAAGCUAGCUAAGGCUAACAAGCUAUGCUAUGGGGCUAACCCUGUGGUCUUCUUGCUACCAGUUGCCACUGUCACCAUCGCGGCUUACGUUACUUGAGUACAUUGGUCCUUGAGCUCAUUGCUACCUGUGAUGCCUCCACCAUGCCUGCUACACACAGUAUAAACUUGUGGAUCAUUGGUGACAGCUGGUGCCCUAAGAGAUGAAGAGACUAAUGGAAAGCAACCUCAGCAUGCUGGAUGUCCCUCACAUUAGAUAUGACUGUUCUGGGCUAUUUUUGAAAGAUGAAGUUCAUGUCACACUUAGGGGAAUAUAAUAAUGCCAAAUUACAACAAAAUCACAUCUGUGGGCACUUUUCUAACGGAACAGGUCUAGACCAUACUCAUACUCAUUUAUAGAUAGAGAGACCCAACAAUUUCCUCAUGCGCAAGCACUUGGCGACAGCGGCAAGGAAAAACAAAAUCACUAUUCCCUCAGUUUGUGGCCACAAACUGAGUCUGUAAUUUUUAUGUUUAGAUUUGCUACUUUUACUGUAAAAUUUUUAGCCAACAUCCGUUCUUGUCAUAAGUAUAAAAUAUCCAUUCCUUUUUUAAACCUUCAAAUGCCAGUUUGUUUGCGCAAUGCGCUUGUUGAAAAACAACCUCAAAAUCAACUAUUAUCCAUAUUCCAACUUGCUGCCGAGAAACUUACUAAACAUCCACCAACCUCUCCUCCUCCUCCUAAUAGGAAAGAUCAACUCAUAUAGAAAUGGUGUGAACUACGUCACUUUAGA
Thunnus maccoyii (southern bluefin tuna) is the source of this 969-nucleotide long non-coding RNA. RefSeq lists it as uncharacterized. The transcript has 3 exons. Lineage: Eukaryota; Metazoa; Chordata; Actinopteri; Scombriformes; Scombridae. The record is from RefSeq and is a predicted model, not a curated record.